This 366-nucleotide small RNA is filed under the name Vigna angularis var. angularis. RNAcentral's name for it is "Non-protein coding transcript". Lineage: Eukaryota; Viridiplantae; Streptophyta; Magnoliopsida; Fabales; Fabaceae. The record is from RNAcentral.
GAUGUCCUUUGAACUCGGUUCUUACAUGCAAGCGAAAAUAAUAGUACUUGAUCUGGAUGCUGAUCUAUUGGAUAGUUUGGAUUUGGUUUAAUGAUCGUUAAGCUUUGACUUGUUUGAUGCGCCUCUUGAUGGUUCGUAACGUCGAAAUCAUGUCCGCACUGGUUAAGUAACCUCGCAUAGUUCCACUUUCUUUGUUGAAAUCAGAUGGAUGGGUCCUCAAAUUAUAGCUACAUGUACAACUUGGUAAGCUAAUCAUGGUUUUGAUGUUAAAGUAGACUCAUCUUCUCACUUUUGUGUUUAUAUAAUGUUUUAAGGGGAUCCGCAUCCUAGUUUUAUGUUCAAUAAUGAAUCGUGGUUGAUCCUCAA